UACGUAGGGUGCAAGCAUUAAUCGGAUUUAUUGGGCGUAAAGGGCGCGUAGGCGGAGAGGCCAGUCAGAUGUGAAAUCCCGAAGCUCAACUUCGGAACAGCAUUUGAAACUACUUCUCUCGAGGGUAGGCGGAGAAAACGGAAUUCCACAAGUAGCGGUGAAAUGCGUAGAUAUGUGGAAGAACACCAGUGGCGAAGGCGGUUUUCUAGCUUAUACCUGACGCUGAGGCGCGAAAGCAAGGGGAGCAAACAGG
Molecule: ribosomal RNA, 253 nt
Filed under: uncultured bacterium
Lineage: Bacteria
Description: partial 16S ribosomal RNA
Rfam family: Bacterial small subunit ribosomal RNA
Source: RNAcentral